This 405-nucleotide ribosomal RNA is filed under the name uncultured prokaryote. RNAcentral describes it as "bacterial SSU rRNA". It matches the Rfam family "Bacterial small subunit ribosomal RNA", at positions 355 to 774 of the family's 1533-position model. The record is from RNAcentral.
UGGGGAAUAUUGGGCAAUGGGCGCAAGCCUGACCCAGCAACGCCGCGUGAAGGUAGAAGGUCUUCGGAUUGUAAACUUCUGUCAUUGGGGACGAAGAAAGUGACGGUACCCAAUGAGGAAGCCCCGGCUAACUACGUGUCAGCAGCCGCGGUAAUACGUAGGGGGCGAGCGUUGUCCGGAAUUACUGGGCGUAAAGGGUGCGUAGGCGGCGAUGCAAGUCCAUUGUGAAAAGCCCGGGCUUAACCUGGGAGGUGCAGUGGAAACUGCAUGGCUUGAGUGCAGGAGAGGAAAGUGGAAUUCCUAGUGUAGCGGUGAAAUGCGUAGAUAUUAGGAGGAACACCAGUGGCGAAGGCGGCUUUCUGGACUGUAACUGACGCUGAGGCACGAAAGCGUGGGGAGCAAACA